RNAcentral lists this ribosomal RNA (253 nucleotides) under uncultured bacterium. RNAcentral's name for it is "partial 16S ribosomal RNA". It matches the Rfam family "Bacterial small subunit ribosomal RNA", at positions 524 to 776 of the family's 1533-position model. The record is from RNAcentral.
GACGGGGGGGGCAAGUGUUCUUCGGAAUGACUGGGCGUAAAGGGUGCGCAGGCGGCCAAGUGUGUGAGGCGUGAAAGCCUGGAGCUUAACUCCAGAAUUGCACCUCAAACUACUCGGCUAGAGCAUUGGAGAGGGUAGCAGAAUUCAUGGUGUAGCAGUGAAAUGCGUAGAUAUCAUGAGGAAUACCAGAGGCGAAGGCGGCUACCUGGACAAUUGCUGACGCUCAGGCACGAAAGCGUGGGGAGCAAAAGGG